GACGAACGCUGGCGGCGUGCUUAACACAUGCAAGUCGAACGGAAAGGCCCUGCUUUUGUGGGGUGCUCGAGUGGCGAACGGGUGAGUAACACGUGAGUAACCUGCCCUUGACUUUGGGAUAACUUCAGGAAACUGGGGCUAAUACCGGAUAGGAGCUCCUGCUGAAUGGUGGGGGUUGGAAAGUUUCGGCGGUUGGGGAUGGACUCGCGGCUUAUCAGCUUGUUGGUGGGGUAGUGGCUUACCAAGGCUUUGACGGGUAGCCGGCCUGAGAGGGUGACCGGCCACAUUGGGACUGAGAUACGGCGCAGACUCCUACGGUAGGCAGCAGUGGAGAGUAUUGCACAAUGGGCGGAAGCCUGAUGCAGCAACGCCGCGUGCGGGAUGACGGCCUUCGGGUUGUAAACCGCUUUCGCCUGUGACGAAGCGUGAGUGACGGUAAUGGGUAAAGAAGCACCGGCUAACUACGUG
This 468-nucleotide ribosomal RNA is filed under the name uncultured bacterium. Its description in RNAcentral is "partial 16S ribosomal RNA". It matches the Rfam family "Bacterial small subunit ribosomal RNA", at positions 28 to 507 of the family's 1533-position model. The record is from RNAcentral.